This is a non-coding RNA of Nylanderia fulva, 769 nucleotides long. The record is from RefSeq and is a predicted model, not a curated record. NCBI's taxonomy places the organism in Eukaryota, Metazoa, Arthropoda, Insecta, Hymenoptera, Formicidae.
AAAAUCUCGAAGAGUUUGACAAAUUUUUAUCUAAAGAUGUAAAUCUGUCGGCAGCGUGUUACUAUUUGAAGAGUUUGCCGUUAGGUGAUAAUGAAAAAAUUGUAGCAUCAAGACUUAUGACCAAAUUGAUGACUAAUUCCUUAGCGAAACAAUUCAACUUUGAUGGUCAUAAUCCUCAAAGGCUAAAGUUAAUAAAAGGCCAUUUAAGAAACUGAAACUAUGGGAAUUAUUUCAAGGAGUUAUGCUAUUAAAAUUUCCUACCAGUGAUUUGGAAGAUGCCUUAAAUGCAGUCAGAAAUUGGCUACGAAACGCUGCUGGGCGUAAGCAAUGAAAUGUGCAAUUUCAUUUUUUUAUUUUUAACAGAAUCUAAUGUAUAAGAAAAGCAGAGGUAAAAAGUGCUCGCAUACGAGAAUAUUGCGUUGUAAUAUCUUAUUAUUCUUAGACGACUCUUUACAAGGUCUUUUUCUCGAUACAAAUUAGCACGGGGGAGGUUUCCCAUUAAAGGGAAGAGGUCAUUUAAUAUUCGUCAUAAAAUGCAAUUAAUUAUUUUUUUUUCUUGAAUGUGAAAUAUGAUCUCUAUUCAUGUGCAAUUUGCGAAGUCUUAUGUCAUUUUUAUUUUGUUAUUGUAUUUUUGAUAUUGCUGCUUUAUUUUGAAUAUUAUUUGUCUUAUUUUUUAUUUAUGUAACUGAUAAGACAUUGUCAGGUUUAAAUUUGAUUUGAAUUAUUACAUAUAAAAGUUUUUAGUUGAAGUAUGUAUAUGUAGAAUAUA